RNAcentral lists this ribosomal RNA (465 nucleotides) under Vreelandella stevensii. Its description in RNAcentral is "partial 16S ribosomal RNA". It matches the Rfam family "Bacterial small subunit ribosomal RNA", at positions 338 to 795 of the family's 1533-position model. The record is from RNAcentral. Lineage: Bacteria; Pseudomonadati; Pseudomonadota; Gammaproteobacteria; Oceanospirillales; Halomonadaceae.
CCUACGGGAGGCAGCAGUGGGGAAUAUUGGACAAUGGGGGGAACCCUGAUCCAGCCAUGCCGCGUGUGUGAAGAAGGCCCUCGGGUUGUAAAGCACUUUCAGUGAGGAAGAACGCCUGGUGGUUAAUACCCAUCAGGAAAGACAUCACUCACAGAAGAAGCACCGGCUAACUCCGUGCCAGCAGCCGCGGUAAUACGGAGGGUGCGAGCGUUAAUCGGAAUUACUGGGCGUAAAGCGCGCGUUGGUGGCUUGAUAAGCCGGUUGUGAAAGCCCCGGGCUCAACCUGGGAACGGCAUCCGGAACUGUCAAGCUAGAGUGCAGGAGAGGAAGGUAGAAUUCCCGGUGUAGCGGUGAAAUGCGUAGAGAUCGGGAGGAAUACCAGUGGCGAAGGCGGCCUUCUGGACUGACACUGACACUGAGGUGCGAAAGCGUGGGUAGCAAACAGGAUUAGAUACCCUUGUAGUC